This 23-nucleotide microRNA is filed under the name Homo sapiens (human). Its description in RNAcentral is "hsa-miR-508-3p". Its record names the gene hsa-miR-508-3p. The record is from miRBase by way of RNAcentral. Lineage: Eukaryota; Metazoa; Chordata; Mammalia; Primates; Hominidae.
UGAUUGUAGCCUUUUGGAGUAGA